This 1286-nucleotide ribosomal RNA is filed under the name metagenome. RNAcentral describes it as "bacterial SSU rRNA". It matches the Rfam family "Bacterial small subunit ribosomal RNA", at positions 243 to 1520 of the family's 1533-position model. The record is from RNAcentral.
AGCUAGUUGGUGAGGUAACGGCUUACCAAGGCGACGAUCUAUAGCGGGUCUGAGAGGAUGAUCCGCCACACUGGAACUGAGACACGGUCCAGACUCCUACGGGAGGCAGCAGUGGGGAAUUUUGGACAAUGGGGGCAACCCUGAUCCAGCCAUGCCGCGUGAGUGAAGAAGGCCUUCGGGUUGUAAAGCUCUUUCGGCCGGGAAGAAAUCGCAUGGGCCAAUACCCUGUGUGGAUGACGGUACCGGAAUAAGAAGCACCGGCUAACUACGUGCCAGCAGCCGCGGUAAUACGUAGGGUGCGAGCGUUAAUCGGAAUUACUGGGCGUAAAGCGUGCGCAGGCGGUUUUGUAAGACAGGCGUGAAAUCCCCGGGCUCAACCUGGGAACUGCGUUUGUGACUGCAAGGCUAGAGUACGGCAGAGGGGGGUGGAAUUCCACGUGUAGCAGUGAAAUGCGUAGAGAUGUGGAGGAACACCAAUGGCGAAGGCAGCCCCCUGGGUCGAUACUGACGCUCAUGCACGAAAGCGUGGGUAGCAAACAGGAUUAGAUACCCUGGUAGUCCACGCCCUAAACUAUGUCAACUAGGUGUUGGGUGGGUAAAACCAUUUAGUACCGUAGCUAACGCGUGAAGUUGACCGCCUGGGGAGUACGGCCGCAAGGUUAAAACUCAAAGGAAUUGACGGGGACCCGCACAAGCGGUGGAUGAUGUGGAUUAAUUCGAUGCAACGCGAAAAACCUUACCUACCCUUGACAUGCCAGGAACUUGCCAGAGAUGGCUUGGUGCCCGAAAGGGAGCCUGGACACAGGUGCUGCAUGGCUGUCGUCAGCUCGUGUCGUGAGAUGUUGGGUUAAGUCCCGCAACGAGCGCAACCCUUGUCGUUAAUUGCCAUCAUUUAGUUGGGCACUUUAGCGAGACUGCCGGUGAUAAACCGGAGGAAGGUGGGGAUGACGUCAAGUCCUCAUGGCCCUUAUGGGUAGGGCUUCACACGUCAUACAAUGGUCGGUACAAAGGGUCGCCAAGCCGCGAGGUGGAGCCAAUCCCAGAAAGCCGAUCGUAGUCCGGAUUGCAGGCUGCAACUCGCCCGCAUGAAGUCGGAAUCGCUAGUAAUCGUGGAUCAGCAUGUCACGGUGAACACGUUCCCGGGUCUUGUACACACCGCCCGUCACACCAUGGGAGCGGGUUCCGCCAGAAGUAGGUAGCCUAACCGUAAGGAGGGCGCUUACCACGGCGGGGUUCGUGACUGGGGUGAAGUCGGAACAAGGUAGCCGUAGGGGAACCUGCGGCUG